This 468-nucleotide ribosomal RNA is filed under the name uncultured bacterium. RNAcentral's name for it is "partial 16S ribosomal RNA". It matches the Rfam family "Bacterial small subunit ribosomal RNA", at positions 28 to 507 of the family's 1533-position model. The record is from RNAcentral.
GACGAACGCUGGCGGCGUGCUUAAUACAUGCAAGUCGAACGGAAAGGUACUGCUUUUGUGGGGUGCUCGAGUGGCGAACGGGUGAGUAACACGCGAGUAACCUGCACUUGAAUUUGGGAUAAAUCCAGGAAACUGGGGCUCAUACCGGAUAGGAGCUCCAGCAGCACGGUGGGGGUAGGAAAGUUUCGGCGGUAGGGGAUGGACUCGAGGCUUACGAGCUUGGUGGGGGGGUAGUGGCUUACCAAGGCUUUGAAGGGUAGCCGGCCUUAGAGGGUGGCCGGCGUCAAUGGUACUGAGAGACGGCCCAGACUCCUACGGUAGGCAGCAGUGGGGAGUAUUGCAGAAUGAGCGGAAGCCUGAUGCAGCGGCGCCGCGUGCGGGAUAACGGCCUUCUGGUUAUAAACCGCUUUCGCCUUUGACGAAGCGGGAUUGACGGUAAUGGGUAAAGAAGCACCGGCUAACUACGUG